AGAGUUUGAUCAUGGCUCAGAACGAACGCUGGCGGCGUGGAUAAGACAUGCAAGUCGAGCGCUAAUUUCAGGGUAGCAAUAUUCUGGAGUUGGAGCGGCGCAAGGGUGCGUAACACGUGGGUAAUCUGCCAUGAAGUUCGGGAUAACUUGCUGAAAGGCGAGCUAAUACCGGAUGUGACAACCGAGAGGCAUCUUUUGGUUGUUAAAGUUGGGGACCGUAAGCCUGACGCUUCUUGAUGAACCCGCGGCCUAUCAGCUAGUUGGUGAGGUAACGGCUCACCAAGGCUAAGACGGGUAGCUGGUCUGAGAGGACGACCAGCCACACUGGAACUGAGACACGGUCCAGACACCUACGGGUGGCAGCAGUCGAGAAUUUUUCACAAUGGGCGCAAGCCUGAUGGAGCGACGCCGCGUGGGGGAUGAAUGGCUUCGGCCCGUAAACCCCUGUCAUUCGCGAUCAAACCUCAUUAUUUAAAAGAUGAUGAGCUGAUAGUAGCGGAAGAGGAAGGGACGGCUAACUCUGUGCCAGCAGCCGCGGUAAUACAGAGGUCCCAAGCGUUGUUCGGAUUCACUGGGCGUAAAGGGUGCGUAGGUGGUGAGGUAAGUCGGAUGUGAAAGCUCGGAGCUCAACUCCGAAAUGGCAUUGGAAACUACCUUGCUCGAGGGUUGGAGGGGGGACUGGAAUACUUGGUGUAGCAGUGAAAUGCGUAGAUAUCAAGUGGAACACCAGUGGCGAAGGCGAGUCCCUGGACAACUCCUGACACUGAGGCACGAAAGCUAGGGGAGCAAACAGGAUUAGAUACCCUAGUAGUCC
RNAcentral lists this ribosomal RNA (814 nucleotides) under uncultured bacterium. RNAcentral describes it as "bacterial SSU rRNA". It matches the Rfam family "Bacterial small subunit ribosomal RNA", at positions 8 to 796 of the family's 1533-position model. The record is from RNAcentral.